Molecule: ribosomal RNA, 480 nt
Filed under: uncultured bacterium
Lineage: Bacteria
Description: partial 16S ribosomal RNA
Rfam family: Bacterial small subunit ribosomal RNA
Source: RNAcentral
GACGAGCGCUGGCGGCGUGCCUAACACAUGCAAGUCGAGCGAGUGAAUCUCCUUCGGGAGUGAAACUAGCGGCGGACGGGUGAGUAACACGUGGGCAACCUGCCUCAUAGAGGGGAAUAGCCUUUCGAAAGGAAGAUUAAUACCGCAUAAGAUUGUAGCCUCGCAUGAAGUAGCAAUUAAAGGAGUAAUCCGCUAUGAGAUGGGCCCGCGGCGCAUUAGCUAGUUGGUGAGGUAACGGCUCACCAAGGCGACGAUGCGUAGCCGACCUGAGAGGUUGAUCGGCCACAUUGGGACUGAGACACGGACCAGACUCCUACGGGAGGCAGCAGUGGGGAAUAUUGCACAAUGGGGGAAACCCUGAUGCAGCAACGCCGCGUGAGUGAUGACGGCCUUCGGGUUGUAAAGCUCUGUCUUCAGGGAUGAUAAUGACGGUACCUGAGGAGGAAGCCACGGCUAACUACGUGCCAGCCGCCGCGGUAA